Molecule: ribosomal RNA, 549 nt
Filed under: uncultured bacterium
Lineage: Bacteria
Description: bacterial SSU rRNA
Rfam family: Bacterial small subunit ribosomal RNA
Source: RNAcentral
UGGGGAAUCUUCCGCAAUGGACGAAAGUCUGACGGAGCAACGCCGCGUGAGUGAUGACGGCCUUCGGGUUGUAAAGCUCUGUUAAUCGGGACGAAUGGUUCUUGUGUGAAUAGUGCGAGGAUUUGACGGUACCGGAAUAGAAAGCCACGGCUAACUACGUGCCAGCAGCCGCGGUAAUACGUAGGUGGCAAGCGUUGUCCGGAAUUAUUGGGCGUAAAGCGCGCGCAGGCGGAUUGGUCAGUCUGUCUUAAAAGUUCGGGGCUUAACCCCGUGAUGGGAUGGAAACUGCCAAUCUAGAGUAUCGGAGAGGAAAGUGGAAUUCCUAGUGUAGCGGUGAAGUGCGUAGAUAUUAGGAAGAACACCAGUGGCGAAGGCGACUUUCUGGACGAAAACUGACGCUGAGGCGCGAAAGCCAGGGGAGCGAACGGGAUUAGAUACCCCGGUAGUCCUGGCCGUAAACGAUGGGUACUAGGUGUAGGAGGUAUCGACCCCUUCUGUGCCGGAGUUAACGCAAUAAGUACCCCGCCUGGGGAGUACGACCGCAAGGUU